This is a long non-coding RNA of Pipistrellus kuhlii (Kuhl's pipistrelle), 1349 nucleotides long. RefSeq lists it as uncharacterized. The record is from RefSeq and is a predicted model, not a curated record. The transcript is spliced from 2 exons. Lineage: Eukaryota; Metazoa; Chordata; Mammalia; Chiroptera; Vespertilionidae.
ACGCGAAAGGCCUUCCUUGGUAGAGGGCGUUUCCGUCGGUAAGGAGCCACCCCAAGCAGGAGGAGGGUGCAUCAGGUCCCAGCAGCAGCGGGCUGGGCCAUUUUCAAAGCCAAAUAGAAGGGAGGUAGGAUGAAGGGGUGGACAUCUUUGGUGUGAAUAAAGAAAAUGGUACAGGGAGAAGAUGUAGGAAGAGUCAGGGAGAGAAGGGGCGAAGAGUAAAAGAACUAAAUCUGGGAAGAUCCAUCAAAGUCAGGGAGUGUAGACACGCCCUGCUGGGGGAAGGCCCAGUGAGUCUAGUCUGAAUUUCUCUUAGCCCUUCUGAGAGAAUAGAAACAUUGCAAUUUCCCCACACAAUCCCCCCAGAGUAAACACCUUUACUAUAUAUUCAUUAAACAUUUUGGUGUGUAUUUUUUAAAAAGAAUUUAGAUGGUUCUUUGAGCCAUGCUUUGGCUGAGUAACUUAAGCCUCAAAUUCUGUUUUCCCCAGCUGCCACUGAACUGUUAUUGCAGUCUUUUUACAAAAAUAGCAACAAUUUUUAAAAAAAGAUGGAUGGAUUCCCUCGAAAUAAAGUUCUACUUCGGGGCGAGCAAACUAGGCCGAGAUCCACCUCCUGUAGCCAGCGCUCCCAAGCCCCUGCAGCACCAGCAGGAGACGCACGUCCGCCCAGCGGGUCUCCUUAGCGCUUCCAGCCCCCGGUACCCGACCCCAAAUCCCUGCCCCGGGCCCCGCCGCCCCUCCCCCGCCCCCCUCCCCCACUCCAGGCCGAGCCCGGGGCGCCCGCACCGUGGGCCCCGCCGCCGCUGCAGAAGCCAAAGUCCGCCGGUGGGGACCGCUUUCCUCUCCAGUGCUCUCGAGUGAACAACAAGGACGGGGGUGACCCUCGUUCAAAGGGCUUUUAUCUGCCCCCCACCGCCGCGUGAUCCCUCCGCGGGGCCGGGGGCAGAGCUUAAAAAGGAAAGGAGGUUAAUGUGCAUUGAGCACCGGCCUUACAUCGAGGACGCUACCUGCGAUCUCUUCAAAAGGCAGCAGCAGCCAGCAGUUCCUUGCAGAACAAAGACUCAGUGUCUGCGCUUCCAAAGCUGAUAGGUAAAGUUGCAGAUAAAAGAAACCUAAGCGCAAAAAAACACAGGAUUUUCUCUUGCUCCUCCAAACCGGCGGCUUCUUUUCGCCCCCCCCCCCCCUUCGUUCCCCCUGAUGGUGUUUGUUCUCGCCCACUUGGGGGUGCGGGGCGGCUCUGACCCAACUCCUUUUCUCCCCCCCCCCCACUCCCCUCACAGCACCGUGGUGAUGAGUUCUUCCGAACUAAGUUGUAGUUGCUACUAUUUGCUACUAAAUCAAAUUCCACAUUA